UUGCGCAGGCGCCCACCGCUCCGCCCUCCCGGCUCGGGUCCCUCCGGGCUCUGGGUUGCGCAGGCGCUUUGCCUUUCGGCCCUUCUCCAACGACGCCCAUGCAGCCAGUACGCUGGCGUCAGGUCUUGUGCUGGAGCCUGUAGAGGUGUGUGCACCUGGAGGCCCCGCAGGUGAAGCGGGAUGAUACCUAGAGUCCUCUAGCUCAAAGGCUCUCCUCAGCGCGGAGGUAAUACAUUUGCAUAUUUCAAAAUUCAGAAGGCACUAUGUCAACCCCAACACCACUCCUGUAGUUCUCCAGAUGCAACCAAGAAAGUGCGUACUAUUUCUGGACUGAAUGAACAUUCUUGAACAUAACAGAAAUACUCUUAAUGAGCAAAAGCCACAAAAAUAGAUUUUUUACCAUUGAAAUUCCAAAGCCGAAGAGCCAUCUUCCACCAAGCAGGAGGGUGCUGAGCAGACGUUCCCUGAACAGCAACCCGACACUGGACAUGGAGGACACCCGAUGCAACGCCCAAGGCUGGAAAGGGCAGAGAUGCAAAUCUGCUCCCAAAAAGAGCUUUUUGGGGCUGUUCUCAUGUUUGCCGCCCUUCUGAGUAGCCUUCUCGAAAUGUGCUGAAGAAAUAUAUUUUGGGGUGAACGAAAUUCUGGUUUCCUUCAAUAACAAGAAAUACACAUUUUGGUCUUCAUCCCAAUUCCUGGCACGCAGCUCCUAAGUGGGUUUUUAACACAAGGGACUCCAUUUGGACUCUGACAACUUUCACAUCAAUGACACAUCACAGUAGAGACCUGGGAAGAGCUGGGUUGACCCAGAUGAAGGGAUUUCCAAUGCGGCUUCCCUGAAGGCUUCCAUAAUAUUCACUGGGUCUGGCUCUGUUACCCAGGCAGGAGUGGGACGGUAUGAUCACAGAGGCUCACUCCAGCCUCAAACUCCUGGCCUCAAGCAAUCCUCCUGUCUCAGAUACCAGUGUGCUGGGACGACAGGUAUGAGCCACCGCGCCCGGCCAGGGUAAAGUUUUGAACCCAAAGCUCAGCUAUACAUAAAUGAUGCUAUGUUUAUAGGAAAACCUGGGGCACUUCAGGGUUUUAGAAAGAUCUGGAGGAAAGAAACACAAGCCCGUUGAGAAAACCACCCUGGGGAGGAAGUAAUCUUAAAUUGUCACCAGGCCUUGCCUGUCACAGCAGCCAGGGCAGGAGAAGGGACCAGGGCGAGGGAGAGGUACCUACGUCAGAGAUGUCAGGGCUGGAGCCACUGUCCGCCAGGCCACUCCGGGCCUUGGGCUGCCAGUCAGAGCCAGGCCGACCUGGGCAUGGAGCAAAUGGGCAGCAAGAGGCAAGACCCCCAGGCAGGCAGGGGCCCUCCCAGGAGCUUGGUGGAGAAGGAGGAGGCCCAAGGGCCAUAGCUAAGGGGCCUGGAGGGGUCAGCAAGGGGCGUUCCUGCCUCUUUUCCUCCCUCCCGAAAGCUAUAAGGAGAGUGCUCAUGGGCAGAGGCGGUGGGCUCGAGCCGGGGAGGGACCCCCCUUGCAGGGUCUCUGCCUGGCCGGUGGGUGGAAUUAGGAGCUUCAGGGUGGCUGUGAAUUGGAAGAGAUUGGCAUGGUCCACAGGAAGGCGAGGCCACGUGGGGUGUGUCUGUCCCAGGGGCUCCCUGCUGUAGCCCUGGCCGAGGGCAGCGACAGCCCCCUGCUCUCUGUGUGGUAAGUCGACAUCCUGGGCCCCCUCCGAGGGGGUCACAAACACGGAACAGCACGGGCGGGUUCCAUGUCAAGGGCUCAGAAGUCACUGUGUAAGUCACCUCCCGCUGCCGGGACAAAAUGCCACAGCUUGGCUUGGACAGCAGACACUUACUCUCCACAGUCGUGGAGGCCAGAAGGUGCUGUCGGAGUUGGUUUCUCCUGAGGCCCCUCUUCCUGGCUGGCAGAUGCCUCCUCCUUGCUGUGUCCUUAGGUGGCCUUUUUCCUGUGCACAUGCAGAGAGGGCGCCCCCUGGUGUCUCUUCUCGUAAGCACACCAGUCCUGUUGGAUUAGGGCCCUACCCUCAAUGACCUCAUCCUGAAUUACCGCCUUAAAGACCCGCGUCCAACUACACCGACCUGGGGGGUUAGGGGUCAUGCAGGAACCGGGGUGGGGGCACAGUUCAGUCAUCGUAGCCACAGAAUCAUUUCCAGGUAGAGCCUGGGAAAUGCCAAGGAGGUCAGGAAGGAGUGAGGACAGAGCGCGGGCAAUGCCAGUGGGCAGCAGUGGGACUGGCCACGACCCCAUGGCCCCAGUGUGGCUUGGCCAGGAGGAGGCCUGGCUGGGUGGAGGCCAGGGAACAGCUUGCUGGGGUGGACAGGGCUCCUGUGGCCUGCACCCCCCGACUGGGAGCCCAGGAGUCUUUUCCUGGCCCAGAUGAAAGAGGCCUGCUUGGGAAACGUGGCUCACAGUGUCUGUCUAAUGGAGAACACGGA
Microcebus murinus (gray mouse lemur) is the source of this 2443-nucleotide non-coding RNA. The record is from RefSeq and is a predicted model, not a curated record. NCBI's taxonomy places the organism in Eukaryota, Metazoa, Chordata, Mammalia, Primates, Cheirogaleidae.